Molecule: ribosomal RNA, 1476 nt
Filed under: Loigolactobacillus coryniformis subsp. torquens
Lineage: Bacteria; Bacillati; Bacillota; Bacilli; Lactobacillales; Lactobacillaceae
Description: bacterial SSU rRNA
Rfam family: Bacterial small subunit ribosomal RNA
Source: RNAcentral
GCCAAUGGGGGGUGCCUAAUACAUGCAAGUCGAACGCACUGACGUCGACCGAAGCUGCUUGCAGUGGACGUUGAUUGACGUGAGUGGCGGACGGGUGAGUAACACGUGGGUAACCUACCCUUAAGUGGGGGAUAACAUUUGGAAACAGAUGCUAAUACCGCAUAACCAUUCAGGCCACAUGGUCUGAAUGUAAAAGACGGCCUUUGGCUGUCACUUUUGGACGGACCCGCGGCGUAUUAGUUAGUUGGUAAGGUAACGGCUUACCAAGACAAUGAUACGUAGCCGACCUGAGAGGGUAAUCGGCCACAUUGGGACUGAGACACGGCCCAAACUCCUACGGGAGGCAGCAGUAGGGAAUCUUCCACAAUGGACGAAAGUCUGAUGGAGCAACGCCGCGUGAGUGAAGAAGGUUUUAGGAUCGUAAAACUCUGUUGUUGGAGAAGAACAGGGACUAGAGUAACUGUUAGUCCUUUGACGGUAUCCAACCAGAAAGCCACGGCUAACUACGUGCCAGCAGCCGCGGUAAUACGUAGGUGGCAAGCGUUGUCCGGAUUUAUUGGGCGUAAAGCGAGCGCAGGCGGUUUUUUAAGUCUGAUGUGAAAGCCUUCGGCUUAACCGAAGAAGUGCAUUAGAAACUGGGAAACUUGAGUGCAGAAGAGGACAGUGGAACUCCAUGUGUAGCGGUGAAAUGCGUAGAUAUAUGGAAGAACACCAGUGGCGAAGGCGGCUGUCUGGUCUGUAACUGACGCUGAGGCUCGAAAGUAUGGGGAGCGAACAGGAUUAGAUACCCUGGUAGUCCAUACCGUAAACGAUGAAUGCUAAGUGUUGGAGGGUUUCCGCCCUUCAGUGCUGCAGCUAACGCAUUAAGCAUUCCGCCUGGGGAGUACGACCGCAAGGUUGAAACUCAAAGGAAUUGACGGGGGCCCGCACAAGCGGUGGAGCAUGUGGUUUAAUUCGAAGCAACGCGAAGAACCUUACCAGGUCUUGACAUCCUUUGACCACUGUAGAGAUACAGCUUUCCCUUCGGGGACAAAGUGACAGGUGGUGCAUGGUUGUCGUCAGCUCGUGUCGUGAGAUGUUGGGUUAAGUCCCGCAACGAGCGCAACCCUUAUGACUAGUUGCCAGCAUUUAGUUGGGCACUCUAGUAAGACUGCCGGUGACAAACCGGAGGAAGGUGGGGAUGACGUCAAAUCAGCAUGCCCCUUAUGACCUGGGCUACACACGUGCUACAAUGGUCGGUACAACGAGUUGCGAACCCGCGAGGGUAAGCUAAUCUCUUAAAGCCGAUCUCAGUUCGGAUUGUAGGCUGCAACUCGCCUACAUGAAGCCGGAAUCGCUAGUAAUCGCGGAUCAGCACGCCGCGGUGAAUACGUUCCCGGGCCUUGUACACACCGCCCGUCACACCAUGAGAGUUUGUAACACCCGAAGUCGGUGGGGUAACCCUUUUAGGGAACUAGCCGCUAAGUGAACAAAUGG